AUUCUGCCCAUGCGGGGAAGGAUGAGAAGCUUCGACCAAGGUUCGACUCGAGCGCCAGCGAGAGAGCGCCAGCGAGAGAGCGUUGCCGCAGGCAACGACCCGAAGGGCGAAGCGCGCAGCGCUGAGUAAUCCUUCCCCCACCACCA
This 146-nucleotide small RNA is filed under the name Escherichia coli. Its description in RNAcentral is "RtT sRNA". It matches the Rfam family "RtT RNA". From Rfam's summary of the family: This family represents a bacterial cis-regulatory element known as RtT RNA. The exact function of RtT is unknown although it is thought that it may be involved in changing the cellular response in relation to amino acid starvation. The record is from RNAcentral. Lineage: Bacteria; Pseudomonadati; Pseudomonadota; Gammaproteobacteria; Enterobacterales; Enterobacteriaceae.